AACGCUGGUGUCUCUGUGGGCCACUGGGAAUCCCGCUUGCCUUCUUAGAGCAAGGGCCUGAUGUGGGGGUCUUCGCUGCUUGCUCACUUCGUAUUUUUCCGAGCUGACGGCUUUAAAGAGAAAUUGGAAGGCAAACGCCACCUGCCAGUGUAGAGAUGAGAGAGGGAAUAAGAGCUUUGGUGUUGGCGUUUCCCCUUCGCCUCUUCUUGCCCAGAGACCUGGAGAGAAAGGAAUAGUCCUUAGAUUGGAGUGGGGGUGGAGUGCUGUUGAUCGACAAGCUUAGGCAUUCACUGGAACACCAGACUGAUUCGUAGUGGAAUCAAGAAUGCAACUUAAGACCUCUUCUACCCUGUUUUCCAUCACUGUUUCUUUCACCUAAAUUUUUCCAGGUGGGAAGCUUUGAGGUUUGAAGGUCCUCAAGCUGGCUGCCCUUGGAAAAUGGACUGGAAGGGAUGGGAGAGGAAGCAGGUCCGGUAGAAGGCCAGGCUGUGGGAAGGAAGGCAUUCCGCACAAAUGGAGCCUGGCGGACAGAGGAAGAAGCCCAUGAAGGCCCCAUCCCCAAGGGCAGCCACUCACUGGAGACGUGUUCACUGGAUUGGAAUUCUCAGCCACACUGUCGCUUCAUCCCCCCAGCCCGGCUGUGACCCAAGUGUCACAUCCCACACACCUCCUUGGAGGAGACACUCAAUAAAAACAAGCUGUGUUGAAUGCCAGUGAGUCACUCUCACAGUCUUCCUGUCCAGAGCAGUGGGGAAUAAUCGAGAACUGACAUUUCU
Mirounga angustirostris (Northern elephant seal) is the source of this 776-nucleotide long non-coding RNA. RefSeq lists it as uncharacterized. The transcript has 3 exons. NCBI's taxonomy places the organism in Eukaryota, Metazoa, Chordata, Mammalia, Carnivora, Phocidae. The record is from RefSeq and is a predicted model, not a curated record.